CAUAUGAUAUCUAGAAUGGAGGAAUAUAUGAUCCCUUAUCUAAUGGACAAGUCAUUGACAAAGGUCAGAGUUCAUCUACAAGGUCAGAGUUCGACAGAAGCUUUUGAGAGCUACGAUUGCCAGUUGGUUCCUGAAGUCAUACGCAAUAAUAGUUUUAGACUUAUCCAAGUGGGAGACUGUUGGAUUAAUGUCUAAGUCCAUAACUAUAAUUGGUAAGACUUGACCCGACCCGGCAUGGUCCAUUUGGGUUGCAUACCAUCAUGCACUUGGAUAGACUAUAAUGAGAGAAAUAAGACACUUAUGGUUAUUAAUAUAUUAUAAGUUCUAGUAUAUUAAUAAUAAGAAUAAUAAGAUUAUUUAAUUAGUAUUGAUCAAGAAUUAAUCUAGGAUUAAUUAAGUGAUCAAAAGAAGACUAAUUAAAUAUAUGGGUUGAUUGUGUAAAUCAUCCAUACUUGUAUAGUGGGCUAAUGCUCCAUGGAUAAUCAAGUUGGGCUAAAACCCAUAGGAUGGUCCAUGGAUGCUCCAUGGUGUAUUUGUACCCAUGGAUCCAAGGAAAUGGAAAGCCAUGACAAUUAAGAGUUUACCCUAAUUGUGUAACUAUAUAAGCAUCUUAUUAUUGAGGAAAAAUCGGCCACUAGAGAUAGUGAAGAAAGGGCUAGCCGAUUUUGAUGAGUGUAGAAUUCUCUCAAGUCAUUCUAAGUGUUUUGAUGAUUGUGAUUCCAUUUGAGGUGUCACACUUGGGGCACUAGGCACUCAAGCUUCAUGAAGACUUUCUACACCAAAGAGGUAUGUAUUCUAUCUUGCUAUAGUUAUUGUUUUGUAUGCUAGAUUAGGAUAAUACCUUGGAAGUUCUUAUUUGCAUGUAUAAUAGAGAAAACAUAGAUCCAAGGUAUUUAGGGUUGCAUGUACACUUAGGAAGUGUUAGAAUGCUCAAAACCCAACAGUGGUAUCAGAGCCACGGGUUGUUUUCUGUUAUAUUGAUGCAAAUAUUUUAUUUUCAAAGUUGAAAAAAAAAAAAAAAAAAAACAUGAAGUUUGUCAAAUUUUAAGAUAAUUACUUGUUCUUGUGAAAAACUAAUUAUUUGUAAAAUUUGAAUAAUUUGCUUUAUGAGUUGAAUUAGGUCAAAUUUAAUAAAAGAUAAAAUAAUAUGAUUAUUUUAUUAGUUUUAAAAGUUUGAUCUAAAGAGUUUUAUUUUUUGAAACCUCCAUAAGUUAUGGAUAUGAAAAGGUUUUAAAAAAAAAAUUGAUUCAAAGUUUUUUUGGAGUUACAAAAUUUGGUGUUAAUGUUUUAAAGGAUUCCAUAACUUAAGAAUAAGUUAUGGAUCACCAAAAGUUUUUUGUGUUACCUUGUUUUAUGAGUGAAUUUAGAUUAAUGAAUAAAAUUAUGUGAUAGUUGGUUUUAAUCCAAAUUAAUCUAAGAAUUGAUUCUAAAAUGUGUUUUUGUAACUUGUCCUCAAGUUAUAUGAAAAGUCACAUUUAAGAAUCAUAAAACUCAUAAAAAUUGGCAAAGGUUACAAAAAUGAAGAGUCUAGUUCUAAUUAAAUGGUUUUAUGACUCCAUAACUUGUCCUCAAGUUAUGGAGGACCAAGAGUCUCUUCAUUUAAUAAAAUAAAAUAAAAAAAAAAAAAGUGUAACCUUAAUUAAUUCCAUAAGUUAUAAAAUAAAGAAAAGUUAAUUCUUUUAUUAGUUUAAAGUCUUCCAUAACUUGUCCUCAAGUUAUGGAACUUGAAGAGUUUUUGGAUUAAAACUACUUUAAACACAUAAGUUAUGGAAUUAAUUAGUUUUGAAUAGUUUCAAAACUUGCCCUCAAGUUUUGGAAUUUGUAAAGUUUUCACUUAUGAAUACUUUAAUUCCAAGUUAGCCCUUAGAAUUUUAAAAGUUAAAAUUCAACCCUUAUACUUUAUAAUAUUAUAAGUUAAUAAUAUAUAUAUGUAUAAGAGUAAAGUCAGUCUUACCGCUAGUACGCCUCAUUCACGAAGCCGGUCUAUAAGGUGGGUAUAAGGUUGUUGCCUAUAAAAUGGCAACUUAAUGGGUGUCCACUCUCACCCACCGCUUGCUUGACUGGUGGAGGGUCGUUAGCCGAACGGGUUUGACAGGACUAGAAUUCUCCCUUCAUUAAAAGUAUUAAUGAUAAUACUAAGUAACUAAACUCUUAAUAAUACCCAAUCUUAGUUACUUAGGAAAAAUGUGAAUAAGGUGCUAAUCCAUGAAAUUACACUUUACACUUUGUCUAAGUCGUUAGUGGAGCGUGUGUGGUUAACCGGCACACUAACUUGGACUUAACAAGGUAGGUAAAGGGUGACUUAAUAUUUAUCAUAGUAUCGAUGGAGCGUGUGUGGUUAACCGGCACAUCGAUUGAGGGGUAAUUUAUUAAGGGUACCAAGUGAUUUGCAUGGUUACUUCACACCUUGUUUUGUGAUCCUCGGCAUCCCAGUCACAAAACCUGAAGGGCACACUCGAGAUUGAAACAUGCCUUUGAAAAGUUCAAUGAAUCUCAAAGAUCUAGGAGUUUCAAAACCAAUUAAAACCUAAUAAUACAUUUCGUUUAUCUUGGUGGAAAUUGGUGAAUCGUCAUUCACCUACCUUCAAAUAUUUUAUAGCUUGGAUUACGGCAUACCUCUUCUAAGUUAUAAAAUAGUUUGUUGGGUCCUAGCCUUAAUAUUUCAUAUUGGGUGUCAUAUUAAGGACUUUAAAUCAACUAUCUUGAAUAUCUCCCAAAAGAUGUCUGGUUUAGACACCUAUGAUCUUCCCAAAUCUCUUGAAACAAGGUUUCCUAAUGAAGAUGAUGUCCCAUGGAUAUCAUACUUCUUCACCUCUUCAAAUUAUUCUCCCUAACCCACAAGUUCUUGAAAAGUUUAAGGUCACUCAGGCCCUUUUGGCAAGGCAAGGUCUAGGUGUGGUCACAUCUUGGAGAUGUAGUCACAUAUUGACAAGCCGGGAGAGUUGGGUGUCAAAGUCUUGAGAAAGUUGGUGGUUCAACUACUUUCUAAGUCACAUAGUGAGUUCUUUUGGAACACCUAUGAAAAAGACUAUGACAAGACCCUUAAUGAUCUUAUCUAUUUGUUAAGAUCAACUUCCUAAAACUUUAUGGACAUUGACAAUGAUGACAUUGGAUAUCCAGUAAAGCAUUCUCUUCCCAAUGGAAAGGGAUCGGCUAUAGUCAACUCGGUUGACCAAAUGGUAAAGAGAAAAGCUAAGUCUGUGAUAGUCCUGUGUACCAUUAUCAAAGGGUCCAUAUGUUUGUAUUGCCAAAGAAAGGGCAUUGGUUGCGAAGCUGCCAAAUUUACCUAAGGAUGUUAAAGUCAAUAAGUUUGACUCUACUUCAGGUAAAAUCCACUAUCUAACUCUGUUAAGUUUCUAUUCUGAGAUUCUUGAUACAUGAUGUGACCGGGUCGCAUGGUGAUGGUUUAAGAAUCAAAGGAAAGUGAAGAAACUUAAAGGAAGAAUAUGCUGAAUCUGAUCGCAUAGAUGGAUUUCUAUCGCAUAGUUUGAAAAAUCGGAUUCUUGAGCUACUUCUUAGGAGUUAUGAGAUAUUGCUUAGGAAUAGAUAACAACAAGUUUUCAUAUGGAUUGUAAGGAUAGUUUUUCCGCAAAGUUUUAAAAUAAAAGGAAAUUUUUGAUUUUAUUUAUUUUAAAAUAUCCUUACAAUGGCAUCUGUGGAAAUUUUUGUUGCUUAUAAGAUUCCAUUAGUAGCAAGAGUGGAAGUAUGAAAUUGAUUCUUUCAUUUGUGGUAAUGUCUAAAUUUACCAAAUAAGGAAAGAUUCUCAUCACCCAAGUUUCAAUUGGACCGGAACUUGGAAUCAUGCAAGUUGUAUAGCAUGAUGAAUGAGAACUUUCAAGUUUUGGAAAAUUAAGACUAAUUACUUGUUCACAUGGAUGUGUGAGUCAAGUAAAGGACUUAGGGAUCGAGUACACAUUCUUGUGCACUGAUUAAGUCCACCACUAAAGAUCGAUAAGAAGAAUCAAAUAAGGCAGAAGGAUAAAAGUUUCUCAAAUCUGAAAAGAUGGGAGAGUACUUUAGUAUCAGUUUUGUGAUCAUCUUAAUGAUUAAGAAACCAUAUCAAAAUUAGUUCUCUAAGGAAAUCUUAGUGCAUUCUUAUGACUAAGAAGAGGAACUUGAAUUGUUGAAAUGGUUAAAUCAAGAAGAUGAGUCAUACUUCGUUCCAAUACAAGUCUUAGAGUCAUACUCCAAGAUUGUCAUUUGAGUGACAUGUCUUAAAGAAGGUUUAAAACACUUGUCAAAUGUAAGAGUAAAAGUUUUCUACUCUUGUACAUUUGAAAUUGGUAAGUUGUGAUGUUUUGGAUAAAACAAAGACCAACUUAGGCCAAUUGGGUAAAGUGUUUUUCUUGAUUAGAAUCCGCACUAUCUCUUGGAUGUUUGACAAGGGAGUCUUAUAUGUCAAGAGGACAGUGGGAGUCUUAAAGGUCUUGAAAGUCUCAAGAACUAAUCAAGAAUAAAACCUGAAGUUCUUCACUAGCACACGACUUGAGGUUCAUAACCUAUCGUGUUGACAUAUUCUGUGCCCAUUCCAGUUAAAGUUGGCUUUGCAUAUGAGUUCUUAGAGUUCUCAAUUUGUUGCACAACAACUUGGAAGCAAUGGCAGGCCCUUGAGCUGCCAGGUGGCAAGAAAUUAAGAUUGAGUUCAGUCCAUAUGAGUUUGGAUUUGUCAUUAUCCUUGUCUUGUGACUAUGGUUUUGACAAUUCACAUGGAUAAGAACACAUACACCAUUAAAUCUAAGUGUCAUAAGGUUUCUCUCCGAUUCAUGAAAAUGAUGGUGAGGAAACACUUUCACUAAGUAGAUUUUAGCUAGAUAGCAAUUGUGAUAUUUGCAUUCUCAAAGUCGUUAGUGGAGCGCGUGUGGUUAACCGGCACACUAAUUUGGACUUGUGAGAAGUGGCAAAAAGGUCUAAACAUUAUGAUUACGGCAUCCCUCUUCAUAAUUGUUUAGAUACACAAGUGUGCUAUCUAAGGGAAGGUGUAUGAUUUUGAUAAAGUUUUAUCAAAACAAUCUAGUAUCAGAAAUCUGAACUUUGGUAAGAAAGUCAAUGAAGUAUUGAUUUCUAGAAGUCCAGCUGAUUUCUGAGUACAUGUCAAAGCUAGUGGGAGCAUAAGUGUUAUGCUAAUAAUCAUCAUGUUAGUGGGAGCAUGAUAAUUAUGAUAAGUAUUGCAAGUUAGCAAUGUUAAUUAUAGAAAACAAAAGUUUCAAUUGGGAAAAAGUUGUUUUGCUAUAAUUAAGGGAGAGGAAAUUAUACUUCAUCUCAAAUCUAUAAGCUUAGAUCGUGAGGUUUUAAUCAUUUAGUCAAGGAUAUAUAUGAAUUUCAUGUUGGAAUGGCUCAACAUAAGGAAAUUCUGUAUAUGGGUCCAUUAUUUGCGUUCUAAAAUUCGAUUAUGAUUACGGCAUCCCUUUUCAUAAUCUGAAUUAUGAGAACUUGGCAAAUUGAAAUGGAAAUAUUAUAGCAAAAGACUGGUUUAGUCUUUAUGUGAGACAUCAUGAAUCGUGUCCCAUAUGCUUCGGAUAUAGGAUCGAUUACAUGUGCUAUAUUCAUCCGUUCUAAAAUUUUCCAAAUGCCUGGGGCAUUAAGAAGGGAAAAGGUUUAGAACUGGAUAUGACUAAAAGGAUUAAACAAUUGUCGAGGACAAUCUAAGGUUUACCAAAGAUUGGUUGCUCAAGGACAGUUGGAAGUAUAGUGAUAAUUCUGGAAGGACCAUAUUGACAUAAUCUGUAAGGAGGCAACUCUUGUUCAGAAGUGAUAGUCAAAAUGGAAUCUGGAAAUGUUUCAAAGUUAGAAUUUUCAAUCUGUUUAAGAUUAGGAAACUUAAUGCAAGAAGGAUGUUUCCAAGGAGCUGAUCUCCUUUGGAAUACUCUGUAAUGAUUGUUGUCAAGUCUUUCUGACUUUGUGCAUAAUCAUUACAAGAGGAUCAAUGCAUAUAAGUUUAGAAUCUAACAGAUUUCAGUAAAUGGCAUGAAUUUGGAAUUCUUGCAUUUGCAGUAAGGAUUUGGGAGUGUGAAAAGAGAAUCAUUGAAGUUAUGUUCAAUUGAUCUAGUUCACAAAGUAAAGAUCAUAGACAAACAUAGUAUGCAUACUUGGUGUAUGGCAUGACUAGUGUUAAGAAAACAUAGUGUACAUGCUUGGAGCAUGGGACAACUAUUGUUUUAAAUUCAAGAAUAAAGUUGAUAGCUGAAACAGUAUACAAUGAAUAAUGUGUAAUCAUAUGGUGAUAAAUAAAAGGUGUUUUAUUUAUGUUCAUAGGUUUUGAUACCAUAUUGGAUUCAAUUAUUAUUGUGUUUCACUUUGCAUGUUUUGACUUCCCGAAUAAACUAGGUUAUUCUUCCGGAAUGACUAAGUUAUUCAAACCAUCCACAGUCGGUCAUAUGUUGGAAGUAGAUAUGAAUUAAGACUGUCAUGGGUUGGCUUGUAGAGGUCUAAGGUGUUGGACAAAGGGCUACAACACUCAUGAGUGCUCAUAAGUUCUGAGUAUUGGAUUCAACCCGCGCUCAUUGGAAUCACUUCAUGGAUUUUAUCACGAGUGAUCAUGAGACGAUAAUAUCUUAUAUUCUUCAAACCUAGAGAUAUGAGUUGUUACUAUGAGUUGAUAGUACAUUGAUUGCACGAAACCGCAUUUGGUAACUCGGUGUUAUAAAACGUGCCUUUGUGUAUGAUUCAACAAGUAGUAGAACAAGCCAUAUGAGUCGAAGUUUAUCCAUUCCUUUUACCUUCGGGAUAAAAGCGAUAUCUGUGGGCCCCUCGAUGAUUUGAUGAUGACAAAUGGAAGUGCUCGGCCGGGCCAGGACUGAUUUGAUUUGUUCAAUUAGUCAGUCGUCAUAAAUCGGAAAUCGGGAAACAACAAAUGGACAGAGAGAAUGAUUAUAAUCCAUGUCUCAGUCCAUAUGAUAUCUAGAAUGGAGGAAUAUAUGAUCCCUUAUCUAAUGGACAAGUCAUUGACAAAGGUCAGAGUUCAUCUACAAGGUCAGAGUUCGACAGAAGCUUUUGAGAGCUACGAUUGCUAGUCGGUUCUUGAAGUCAUACGCAAUAACAGUUUUAGACUUAUCCAAGUGGGAGACUGCUGGAUUAAUGUCUAAGUCCAUAACUAUAAUUGGUAAGACUUGACCCGACCCGGCAUGGUCCAUUUGGGUUGCAUGGCAUCAUGCACUUGGAUAGACUAAAUGAGAGAAAUAAGACACUUAUG
Molecule: long non-coding RNA, 7189 nt
Filed under: Lactuca sativa (garden lettuce)
Lineage: Eukaryota; Viridiplantae; Streptophyta; Magnoliopsida; Asterales; Asteraceae
Description: long non-coding RNA (LSAT_LNC004100)
Source: RNAcentral